GAUGAAGAACGCAGCGAAAUGCGAUAAGUAAUGUGAAUUGCAGAAUUCAGUGAAUCAUCGAAUCUUUGAACGCAUCUUGCGCUCCUUGGUAUUCUGAGGAGCAUGCCUGUUUGAGUGUCAUUAAAUUCUCAACUACACUGACUUUGAAUUGGUGUGGCUUGGAUUUGGGGGGAAAAUUGUUGUGGGCUUUUUGUAUAGUCUGCUCCCCUGAAAUUGAUUAGCGGUACCUUUGUGGAACUGUCUACAGGUGUGAUAACUAUCUACAUCUUAGACAUCUGCUGGAAUGCUGCUUUCUAAACCUUACUUGUAUUGACAAUCUUGACCUCAAAUCAGGUAGGACUACCCGCUGAACUUAAGCAUAUCAAUAAGCGGAGGA
This 376-nucleotide unclassified non-coding RNA is filed under the name soil metagenome. RNAcentral describes it as "partial contains 5.8S ribosomal RNA, internal transcribed spacer 2, and large subunit ribosomal RNA". The stretch from base 1 to 120 matches the Rfam family "5.8S ribosomal RNA", at positions 35 to 154 of the family's 154-position model. The record is from RNAcentral.